Molecule: long non-coding RNA, 7721 nt
Filed under: Brassica napus (rape)
Lineage: Eukaryota; Viridiplantae; Streptophyta; Magnoliopsida; Brassicales; Brassicaceae
Description: long non-coding RNA (BNAP_LNC018957)
Source: RNAcentral
AAAAUUCCAAUAAAAGGAAGCUAUUGUGCUCCAACUAUAUGUUUGGAUAAGUGUAAGAAGCAACAUGGAACUGUUGGUAGUUGUGCGGAAGAAAAAGGAUUUUGUAACUGCGCUUGUAAAUAAGGGUUCUCACUAAGUGUUAUGAAUCUAGUAAUGUCCAACCAAAGUUUUAUAUUAUUUCUUUUAACAAUAAGUCUAAAUGUUUGUUUUUGAUUUGUGGAUCUAUUUAUAAUAAAUAAUAAUAUGAAUGUUAAAUAAAUACAAAUGUGUAAAACAAGAGUGGACUAUUAAUAAAAUAUAUGAUCACAUUAUUGUUAGAAGUAACCAAUAUUACGUGUAAAAUCAAAAGCUUAAGAAGAGUUAAAAAGAUAGAGACGAAAUCACAACCAAUAUUUAAAUGUGAGAUAAUCAACUAACACGUAAUUUUGUACACAUUGUAAAAAAAAAAAGCAAGAGUUGAUUAUCAAACAAAAAAGUGUUAGAAAGAGCAACAGAUCAUUCAAGGGCAGACUAGGUUUGAAUUGGCUUGACAGAUGGGAUGCAGACAUGCCAUAGGAAAGUCUUACAAACUCAUCAGACAACGCAAAGAAAAGUGAUAGCAUUGUUUCUGAACAUGACAAAGCUUUGGUCAUGAAGAAAAAUUUCACAACCAGAGUUUUUGGUAGACCUCCUCCAAUGUCAUCAUCAGCUACGAGUUUUGAGACUUCAUCCACAUCUCAGUCUCUAUUUCAAUUCUCAUGAAGUUUCCUUUAGAGAAGAGGUUAUUACAAAAAGCCAAGUUACAUGAACCUAACACAAUCUAUCAAAGGUAAGAAGAGACGAUCAACCAGUAUUCUUCAUCUUCUUGUUUCAAAAUCACUGUUUGAAAAUAAACAGUCAAUGUCUUACAACGAAGAUGUGAAUGUAAAGUGUUGUGCAUGUUCGGAUCCAUCUUGCACCCAGUGGAGUGAUCUAUAUCCACAUGCUCAAGUAACAAGGAGAAAUAUGUGGGAAUAUAUGUAAAAAUACUUCUUUUUUUUUUUUUUGUCAUCAGCAUUACAGAUUUCUAUAUAAGUUACUUCUUAUGUUUUAACAAAUAGAAUACUUCAUCUCUUUCCUAAAUUUUAAGCCAAUAUCAAUCCAUUUCUAUAAUCCAUGAUGAAGAAAUCCCUUCAACUCUCGUUUACGUUCUUAAUUAUCUCCAUCAUUCUCUCACAAGGUUUGUAUUUACAUCUUAAUAUAUUGCAUAUAUUAAUUCCAUAAUAAAUUGAUUAUACUAAAAUUUGACUUUUAAAAUAUUGUAAACCUCAAUAUAAUAAAUUUUAUUAACUAUAUAAAACAUAGCAUUAAAUUAUCUCUUUGUGUAAAAUUCAUAAAUUUGCAGAAGGCUAGAAAAUAUAGAUAGUAUGGUCAGAAAUGUUUUUGUUAAAAUUGAAAGGAUCAACCAUGAAGUAUUUAACUGUUUUUUAUACUUUAUGCCAUUUAUAAUUUUUUUUAAUGUAUGGGUUUAUAUAUGAUGAAGAACUAUUAUGAUAAAAUAAUAUUAAAUAAUUUCAUUUUUAUCAUCUAUUUAUGAACAUUUUGUCCUGCACAUACAAACGAUUUAACCAACAUUUUUCAUAAUAUGGAUGAACUAUAGUUCUUACGUAAAUUUAUUUGAUAUUUUUAAUUAAAUUUAUAUAUUUUUGUAGGUAAUAUGUUAUGCAUUUCCAAUACAUACAGUAGUUGUUCUUAAAAUAUCAAAAUUUUAUACGUAAUGUUUAUUAAUAUGCACACAAUUCUUAAAACCAUAUUUUCACAAAAUAAAAAAUAAUGUGUUACCAAACGAUAUGCUCAUUUUUUUAAUUUACUGGCAAAAUAUAUUUCUUUUUUUUACUUAUAACGUUUAAAACGAAAUGUUAUUAAACAUUUUUUGCUGAUAAAUAAAUUUUCUAUUUCAUAAAAUCUAUAUAUAUUUUCUAACAAUUAAAAUUUAAAAUUUUAAUAUCUUACAGGAAUGAUGGCAGAUGCGCAGAAAAAGAAUUGUCCUCAUAAAAUUCCAAUAAAAGGAAGCUAUUGUGCUCCAACUAUAUGUUUGGAUAAGUGUAAGAAGCAACAUGGAACUGUUGGUAGUUGUGCGGAAGAAAAAGGAUUUUGUAACUGCGCUUGUAAAUAAGGGUUCUCACUAAGUGUUAUGAAUCUAGUAAUGUCCAACCAAAGUUUUAUAUUAUUUCUUUUAACAAUAAGUCUAAAUGUUUGUUUUUGAUUUGUGGAUCUAUUUAUAAUAAAUAAUAAUAUGAAUGUUAAAUAAAUACAAAUGUGUAAAACAAGAGUGGACUAUUAAUAAAAUAUAUGAUCACAUUAUUGUUAGAAGUAACCAAUAUUACGUGUAAAAUCAAAAGCUUAAGAAGAGUUAAAAAGAUAGAGACGAAAUCACAACCAAUAUUUAAAUGUGAGAUAAUCAACUAACACGUAAUUUUGUACACAUUGUAAAAAAAAAAAGCAAGAGUUGAUUAUCAAACAAAAAAGUGUUAGAAAGAGCAACAGAUCAUUCAAGGGCAGACUAGGUUUGAAUUGGCUUGACAGAUGGGAUGCAGACAUGCCAUAGGAAAGUCUUACAAACUCAUCAGACAACGCAAAGAAAAGUGAUAGCAUUGUUUCUGAACAUGACAAAGCUUUGGUCAUGAAGAAAAAUUUCACAACCAGAGUUUUUGGUAGACCUCCUCCAAUGUCAUCAUCAGCUACGAGUUUUGAGACUUCAUCCACAUCUCAGUCUCUAUUUCAAUUCUCAUGAAGUUUCCUUUAGAGAAGAGGUUAUUACAAAAAGCCAAGUUACAUGAACCUAACACAAUCUAUCAAAGGUAAGAAGAGACGAUCAACCAGUAUUCUUCAUCUUCUUGUUUCAAAAUCACUGUUUGAAAAUAAACAGUCAAUGUCUUACAACGAAGAUGUGAAUGUAAAGUGUUGUGCAUGUUCGGAUCCAUCUUGCACCCAGUGGAGUGAUCUAUAUCCACAUGCUCAAGUAACAAGGAGAAAUAUGUAGGCAAAGAAGCUAAAGUAAACAUUGUUUCAUUAAAUCAUUAAAGCAUUUCAACACCUUGACGGUUCUAAAACACACACAAAAUGCUGAUUUAUUGAUAUAUAAGCAACUUCUAUGUAUGUUUUUUUACAUACGAGUUAGUAUGAAAACCGCUGCAAUGUUGUUGUUUGACCACUUUUAUUAUUUAAUAGUUAACUUCUGAUGAUUCUAAGAUAAUAUGUUAUUCCCAACUCUUGUCAAUAUGAAAGCAAGAGCAAAGUUUCAUCUUUAUACAUGAAAGACCAAUAAAAUGACCAAAAAACAUAGUUUAGACGAAAGCUUCCUAAUAAAAUUUAUUCUCACUAUCUAAAUCUAAAACUGAAUUCAAUUCAUCUAUCUGAUUAUUAUAUAGUUUUCAUUUUCGUUAUUUUAUUGAAUUGAGUAAAAAAAAUUCAAUUAUAAACUUAGUAAUUUUUUAGUAUAAUCUUAUAAAUUAUGUAACGUGUGGGACAUCCACCUAAUAAACUAUUAAUUUAAAUAGUAAUGUUUGAAAAGUAUUUUAUUGACAUUGUUUUAAAUAAAUUCAUAAUUCUAAAAAUAGCAAUAACUUUUUGAAAACAUCAGAUUUAUGUACACGCAUAGGACACAUACCUUUUUAUUUACUUAAAGGUAAAUGAACGAGUCUAAAUUUUCCACAUGUUAUAUGAGCAAAACAUGGAUUUUUCUAAAUUGGAUUAGUUUUUAUCGGAACACAUUAAUGUGCGUUUCUUAAAUUAGAUUUUUAAUAUGUAUAUAUACGUAUGAAUACUUCUUAUAUUUAAAUAAAAAAUAGAAUACUUCAUCUCUUUCCUAAAUUUUUAAGCCAAUAUCAAUCCAUUUCUAUAAUCCAAGAUGAAGAAAUCCCUUCAACUCUCGUUUACGUUCUUAAUUAUCUCCAUCAUUCUCUCACAAGGUUUGUAUUUACAUCUUAAUAUAUUGCAUAUAUUAAUUCCAUAAUAAAUUGAUUAUACUAAAAUUUGACUUUUAAAAUAUUGUAAACCUCAAUAUAAUAAAUUUUAUUAACUAUAUAAAACAUAGCAUUAAAUUAUCUCUUUGUGUAAAAUUCAUAAAUUUGCAGAAGGCUAGAAAAUAUAGAUAGUAUGGUCAGAAAUGUUUGCGUUAAAAUUGAAAGGAUCAACCAUGAAGUAUUUAACUGUUUUUUAUACUUUAUGCCAUUUAUAAUUUUUUUAAUGUAUGGAUUUAUAUAUGAUGAAGAACUAUUAUGAUAAAAUAAUAUUAAAUAAUUUCAUUUUUAUCAUUUAUUUAUGAACAUUUUGUCCUGCACAUACAAAUGAUUUAACCAACAUUUUUCAUAAUAUGGAUAAACUAUAGUUCUUACGUAAAUGUAUUUGAUACUUUUAAUUAAAUUUAUAUAUUUUUAUAGGUAAUAUGUUAUGCUUUUCUAAUACAUACAGUAGUUGUUCAUAAAAUAUCAAAAUUUUAUACGUAAUGUUUAUUAAUAUGCACACAAUUCUUAAAACCAUAUUUUUCACAAAAUAAAAAAUAAUGUGUGACCAAACGAUAUGCUCAUUUUUUUUAUUUACUGGCAAAAUAUAUUUCUUUUUUUUUUUGCUUAUAACGUUUAAAACGAAAUGUUAUUAAACAUUUUUUGCUGAUAAAUAAAUUUUUUAUUUCAUAAAAUCUAUAUAUAUAUUCUAACAAUUAAAAUUUAAUAUUUUAAUAUCUUACAGGAAUGAUGGCAGAUGCGCAGAAAAAGAAUUGCCCUCAUAAAAUUCCAAUAAAAGGAAGCUAUUGUAUUCCAACUAAAUGUUUGGAUAUGUGUAAGAAGCAACAUGGAACUCUUGGUAGUUGUUCGGAAGAAAAAGGAUUUUGUAACUGCGCUUGUAAGUAAGGGUUCUCACUAAGUGUUAUGAAUCUAGUAAUGUCCAACCAAAGUUUUAUAUUAUUUCUUUUAACAAUAAGUCUAAAUGUUUGUCUCUGAUUUGUGGAUCUAUUUAUAAUAAAUAAUAAUAUGAAUGUUAAAUAAAUACAAAUGUGUAAAACAAGAGUGGACUAUUAAUAAAAUAUAUGAUCACAUUAUUGUUAGAAGUAACCCAUAUUACUUGAAAAAUCAAAAGCUUAAGAAGAGUUAAAAAGAUAGAUAUGAAAUCACAACCAAUAUUUAAAUGUGAGAUAAUCAACUAACAUGUAAUUUUGUACACAUUGUAAAAAAAAAAAAAAAACAAGAGUUGAUUAUCAAACAAAAAAGUGUUAGAAAGAGCAACAGAUCAUGCAAGGGCAGUCUAGGUUUGAAUUGGCUUGACAGAUGGGUUGCAGACAUGCCAUAGGAAAGUCCUACAAACUCAUCAGACAUCAAAGAAAAUUGAUAGCAUUGUUUCUGAACAUGACAAAGCUCUGGUCAUGAAGAAAAAUUUCACAGCCAAAGUUUUUGGUAGACCUUCUCCGAUUUCAUCAUCAGCUACGAGUUUUGAGACUUCAUCCACAUCUCAGUCUCCAUUUCCAUUCUCAUGAAGUUUUCUUUAGGGAAGAGGUUAUUACAGAAAGCCAAGUUACAUGAACCUAACACAAUCUAUCAAAGGUAAGAAGAGACGAUCAACCAGUAUUCUUCAUCUUCUUGUUCCGAAAUCACUGUUUGAAAAGAAACAGUCAAUGUCUUACAACGAAGAUGUGAAUGUAAAGUGUUGUGCAUGUUCGGAUCCAUCUUGCACCCAGUGGAAUGAUCUAUAUCUACAUGCUCAAGUAACAAGGAGAAAUAUGUGGGCAAAGAAGCUAAAGUAAACAUUGUUUCAUUAAAUCUUUAAAGCAUUUCAACACCUUGAGAGUUCUAAAACACACACAAAAUACCGAUUUAUAGAUAUAUAAGCAACUUCUAUGUAUGUUCUUUUACAUAUGAGUUAGUAUGAAAAUUGCUGCAAUGUUGUUGUUUGACCACUUUUAUUAUUUAAUAGUUAACUUCUGAUGAUUCUAAGAUAACAUGUUCUUCCCAACUCUUGUCAAUAUGAAACCAAGAGCAAAGUUUCAUCUUUAGACAUGAAAGACCUAUAAAAUGACAAAAUAGCAUAGUUUAGACGAAAGCUUCCUAAUAAAAUUUAUUCUCACUAUCUAAAUCUAAAACUGAAUUCAAUUCAUCUAUUUGAUUAUUAUAUAGUUUUCAUUUUUCAUUAUUUUAUUGAAUUGAGUAAAAAAAUUUAAUUAUAAACUUACUAAUUUUUUAAUAUAAUCUCAUAAAUUAUGUUACGUGUGGGACAUCCACCUAAUAAACUAUUAAUUUAAAUAGUAAUGUUCGAAAAGUAUUUUAUUGACAUUGUUUUAAAUAAAUUCAGAAUUCUAAAAAUAGCAAUAACUUUUUGAGAACAUCAGAUUUAUGUACACGCAUAGGACACAUACCUUUUUAUUUACUUAAAGGAAAAUGAACGAGUCUAAAUCUUCCACAUGUUAUAUGAGCAAAACAUGAAUUUUUCUAAAUUAGAUUCGUUUAAAUCAGAACAUAUUAAUGUGAGUUUCUUAAAUUAGAUUUUUAAUAUGUAUAUAUACGUAAGAAUACUUCUUAUGUUUUAAAAUAAAAAAUAGAAUACUUCAUCUCUUUCCUAAAUUUUUAAGCCAAUAUCAAUCCAUUUCUAUAAUCUAAGAUGAAGAAAUCCCUUCAACUCUCUUUUUCGUUCUUAAUUAUCUCCAUCAUUCUCUCACAUGGUUUGUAUUUUCAUCUUAAUAUAUUGCAUAUAGUAAUUCCAUAAUAAAUUGAUUAUACUAAAAUUUGACUUUUAAAAUAUUGUCAACCCCCAUAUAAUAAAUUUUAUUUACUAUAUAAAACAUAGCAUUAAAUUAUCUCUUUGUGUAAAAUUCAUAACUUUGCAGAAGGCUAGAAAAUAUAGAUAGUAUAGUCAGAAAUGUUUGCGUUAAAAUUGAAAGGAUCAACCAUGGAGUAUUUAAAUGUUUUUUAUACUUUAUGCCAUUUAUAAUUUUUUUAAUGUAUGGGUUUAUAUAUGAUGAAGAACUAUUAUGAUAAAAUAAUAUUAAAUAAUUUCAUUUUUAUCAUCUAUUUAUGAACAUUUUGUCCUGCACAUACAAAUGAUUUAACCAACAUUUUUAAUAAUAUGGAUGAACUAUAGCUCUUACGUAAAUUUAUUUGAUAUUUUUAAUUAAAUUUAUAUAUUUUUAUAGGUAAUUUGUUAUGCUUUUCCAAUACAUACAGUAGUUGUUAUUAAAAUAUCAAAAUUUAAUACGUAAUGUUUAUUAAUAUGCACACAAUUCUUAAAACCAUAUUUUUAAAAAAUAAUGUGUGACCAAACGAUAUGCUCAUUUUUUUAUUUACUAGCAAAAUAUAUUUCUUUUCUUACUUAUAACGUUUAAAAAGAAAUGUUAUUAAACAUUUUUUGCUGAUAAAUAAAUUUUAUAUUUCAUAAAAUCUAAAUAUAUUUUUUAACAAUUAAAAUUUGAAAUUUUUAUAUCUUACAGGAAUGAUGGCAGAUGCGCAGAAAAAGAAUUGUCCUCAUAAAAUUCCAAUAAAAGGAAGUUAUUGUGCUCCAACUAUAUGUUUGGAUAUGUGUAAGAAGCAACAUGGAACUGUUGGUAGUUGUGCGGAAUAAAAAUGAUUUUGUAACUGCGCUUGUAAGUAAGAGUUCUCACUAAGUGUAAUGAAUCUAGUAAUGUCCAACCAAAGUUUUAUAUUAUUUCUUUUAACAAUAAGUCUAAAUGUUUGUCUCAGAUUUGUGGAUCUAUUUAUAAUAAAUAAUAAUAUGAAUGU